AGGGCGAACGCUGGCGGCGUGCUUAACACAUGCAAGUCGAACGGUAAGGCCCCUUCGGGGGUACACGAGUGGCGAACGGGUGAGUAACACGUGAGCAACCUGCCCUUGACAUUGGAAUAACAGUUGGAAACAGCUGCUAAUACCGGGUAUGACCUUUCAUCGCAUGGUGGGGGGUGGAAAGCCUUGGCGGUCAAGGAUGGGCUCGCGGCCUAUCAGCUAGUUGGUGAGGUAAUGGCUCACCAAGGCUUCGACGGGUA
This 257-nucleotide ribosomal RNA is filed under the name uncultured bacterium. RNAcentral describes it as "partial small subunit ribosomal RNA". It matches the Rfam family "Bacterial small subunit ribosomal RNA", at positions 26 to 285 of the family's 1533-position model. The record is from RNAcentral.